This is a long non-coding RNA of Anoplophora glabripennis (Asian longhorned beetle), 227 nucleotides long. RefSeq lists it as uncharacterized. Lineage: Eukaryota; Metazoa; Arthropoda; Insecta; Coleoptera; Cerambycidae. The transcript has 2 exons. The record is from RefSeq and is a predicted model, not a curated record.
AAGCAAGUAUGGAGCAAUUACUAGGUAACAGAUUGGAGACUUUCUAGUGAAACCGUGCAGAUAUUUUUAGAUUAACUUGGACUUUGAAAGAACUUUCCCAAACAGCGAUAUUGGCAUUUUGGAACAAUUUGGAAUAAUCGAAAUAUCCAGUGUAAAUGUAUUUAUGUACAUAUGUAAAUAUAGGUAUAUAAUUAUAUACUAUAAAUAUAUGUUCUUAUCACUAUGAA